Molecule: non-coding RNA, 91 nt
Organism: Fomitopsis schrenkii
Lineage: Eukaryota; Fungi; Basidiomycota; Agaricomycetes; Polyporales; Fomitopsidaceae
Source: the annotation of a GenBank genome assembly
GGCCUGGUGGUCUAGUAGUAUGAUUCCUUCUUAGGGAUGUCGGCUUAGUCAUGCAUGGAGGAGGCCCCGGGUUCAAUUCCCGGCCAGGCCC